RNAcentral lists this ribosomal RNA (427 nucleotides) under uncultured bacterium. Its description in RNAcentral is "partial 16S ribosomal RNA". It matches the Rfam family "Bacterial small subunit ribosomal RNA", at positions 354 to 796 of the family's 1533-position model. The record is from RNAcentral.
GUGGGGAAUAUUGGGCAAUGGGGGAAACCCUGACCCAGCGACGCCGCGUGAGGGAAGAAGGCCUUAGGGUCGUAAACCUUUGUUGUGUGGGAAGAAGAGCGUGACGGUACCACACGAGGAAGUCCCGGCUAACUACGUGCCAGCAGCCGCGGUAAUACGUAGGGGACGAGCGUUGUCCGGAUUUACUGGGCGUAAAGGGCGCGUAGGCGGUCAUUUAAGUCAGCUGUGAAAUGGUUUGGCUUAACCGGAUCAUGCGGUUGAAACUGGAUGACUGGAGUGCUGGAGAGGCAAGUGGAAUUCCCAGUGUAGCGGUGAAAUGCGUAGAUAUUGGGAAGAACACCGGUGGCGAAGGCGACUUGCUGGCCAGCAACUGACGCUGAGGCGCGAAAGCCAGGGGAGCAAACGGGAUUAGAAACCCUUGUAGUCC